GACGAAGGGGGCUAGCGUUGUUCGGAAUUACUGGGCGUAAAGCGCGUGUAGGCGGUUGUCCAAGUUGGAUGUGAAAACCUUGAGCUCAACUCAAGAAAUGCAUUCAGGACUGGAUGACUAGAGGACCGGAGAGGAUAGUGGAAUUCCCAGUGUAGUGGUGAAAUACGUAGAGAUUGGGAAGAACACCAGUGGCGAAGGCGGCUAUCUGGACGGUUUCUGACGCUAAGACGCGAAAGCGUGGGGAGCAAACAGG
This 253-nucleotide ribosomal RNA is filed under the name uncultured bacterium. RNAcentral describes it as "partial 16S ribosomal RNA". It matches the Rfam family "Bacterial small subunit ribosomal RNA", at positions 524 to 776 of the family's 1533-position model. The record is from RNAcentral.